CCUACGGGAGGCAGCAGUGAGGAAUAUUGGUCAAUGGGCGCGAGCCUGAACCAGCAAGUCGCGUGAGGGAAGACGGUCCUAUGGAUUGUAAACCUCUUUUGUCGGGGAGCAAAAGACGCCACGCGAAGCGUUCCGAGAGUACCCGAAGAAAAAGCAUCGGCUAACGCCGUGCCAGCAGCCGCGGUAAUACGUAGGAUGCGAGCGUUAUCCGGAUUUAUUGGGUUUAAAGGGUGCGCAGGCGGAAGAUCAAGUCAGCGGUAAAAGUAAGAGGCUCAACCUCUUCGAGCCGUUGAAACUGGUUAUCUUGAGUGAGCGAGAGGUAUGCGGAAUGCGUGGUGUAGCGGUGAAAUGCAUAGAUAUCACGCAGAACUCCGAUUGCGAAGGCAGCAUACCGGCGCUCAACUGACGCUCAUGCACGAAAGUGUGGGUAUCGAACAGGAUUAGAUACCCUUGUAGUC
This 458-nucleotide ribosomal RNA is filed under the name uncultured bacterium. RNAcentral describes it as "partial 16S ribosomal RNA". It matches the Rfam family "Bacterial small subunit ribosomal RNA", at positions 338 to 795 of the family's 1533-position model. The record is from RNAcentral.